CCCCGGCCGGCCGCCGCCCCCUCCCUCUCCGCACCCCAAGCCUUUAACGCCUCCUCUUCCGAAAGCCACGGGGGUGGCCGGGCCGCCCUCCCCGCCGCCGCGGCCCUGCGGGGCGCUACCGCCUUCCCCUCAGCGCCGCACCCCCACCUUCCUCAGCACCCACCACCGGCUCCGCGUUGCCGCGCAACGAGCGGCGGGCCGCGGUGCGGGGCGCGGAGGGGUGCGGGUGGGCAUGGCGGAGCCCGCUGACAGGGCAGCACAUGUUUACGGGGCCGCGCUCUGCCGGCACGGGGGAGGAGGAGGAGGAGAAAUCUGAGGCAAAAGCCGAACAGGAUCGCGGGCGGGAGCGCGGAGGAAGGGCUGAGGGAGCUCGGGGGGGGGAACGCGGGCGGGGCUGUGUGGAAACGGCGGCCUGUCAGCCCCGGCUGGGCCUCGGGGUGACAGCCAACGGCCUCUUCCUGCAGGGGAAAAGUCCCGUUUUCCAAACGAAACCUCUUUUAUUUGUGCCUUUCCGGCUCUGCGAGGGGGUUUUUUGGUAAAAAUGGGCCAUCAAAACUCUGAAUUUUCCUGAAGACUCCUCAGCUUGACUUCCUCAAGACUUCCUUGACUGGAAGGAGCACCUUCAUCUGGAGCACUGGAAGGAGAAGCUUCCAUCACGGAGCUUAGCUGGGGGAAAAAAACCCCAACCCAACAAAAAACCACCAAGCCAAAAACCACCCAGCAAAAUAACAACCCCAAAUUAGCUUUAAUGAACCCUCUGUACUCACUAGAAAAUAGGAGCAUGUACAGCAUGGAAAAUGGCUCUUACAUCUCAAGCUAGUGACCUGGCUUGCAGCUGAUUAAUGGAAAAAAAUCUCUUGAGUUGGGCGUGAUCCCCAAGUUAUCUGGCUAUCUGGUGUUUCCCUUAAAUUUUGGUUACAGUGGGGUCUACUUAAAGAGCCUUUAGAGUUAAUGUCAGUAUGGGACGCAAGCCAAAAAAAAGCAAGAGUGCUUGUUGUCAAAGCAGAGUAUUCAUCUCCAACAUGAAAAAUUUAUGCAAAUAAACCUACUAUUUUAUGAUAGGGAGCAAGAUGAUCAAAAUAAAAAUGUACCUAUUGCUUAAUUCAUUGGCGUAAAAAAUUUUAUUAUAUAAUAUUUUUUUCCUUGGUUCCAAAAGACUUAAGAGUGGAGUUUCCAUGUAAAAAGUGAGUCGACUAGUGGAUUUGUAAAAAGGGGAAGUGUCAUCGUAUCAGCAGUAGCAUGAAACUCCAAGGAGCUGAGCUGUUUUUCUGGGAAGCAACACCUUUGAAGAGACAUAAACAUGCAUAUCAGAAAAUAAGAAGGAGAAGAAGAGGAAGAAAAGGAGAGCUAGCCAAGAUCUAUCCUUUAUGCCACAUCAGCUUCCAAAAGCAAUGACUGGCCCAGACAAAAGCCGGGUGUGUUGGGGCUGCGUCGCGGGGGCUGUGGCUGCUGUUGACCCACGGGAUGGGCUGCAGCGACCUUCCAGUGCCCAGAGCCAAGCUGCCAAAAAACCUCUGGAAACACCACUUUUGGAGGUGUGGGGGAAUCCUGCUGGAAGACGAUCCGCUGGAACUUGUGAGCGAUUCCGUUGCGGAUCUUGGAAAACUUGGAUUUCUUGGAAAUCUUGAAAGAAUGAACGAAAACAACUGGUUUAUGGAGCUGGGUUGAGGAAGUUGAAACAAAUUCUAUAGUUGGACAGGAAAAGUAAAUUCAUUAUUUAUUUACGAAUGAGUGCUGUCUUGACUAUAAUUUCUUUCAUACACUUUGUAUGAAUAAAUAUCACUAGUUUUUA
This is a long non-coding RNA of Calidris pugnax (ruff), 1792 nucleotides long. RefSeq lists it as uncharacterized. The transcript is spliced from 5 exons. The record is from RefSeq and is a predicted model, not a curated record. NCBI's taxonomy places the organism in Eukaryota, Metazoa, Chordata, Aves, Charadriiformes, Scolopacidae.